AGAGUUUGAUCAUGGCUCAGAUUGAACGCUGGCGGUAUGCUUAACACAUGCAAGUCGAACGGUAACGCGGAGAGCUUGCUCUCUGGCGACGAGUGGCGGACGGGUGAGUAACGCGUAGGAAUCUGCCCAGUAGUGGGGGACAACUCGGAGAAAUCCGAGCUAAUACCGCAUACGCCCUACGGGGGAAAGCGGGGGAUCUUCGGACCUCGCGCUACUGGAUGAGCCUGCGUUGGAUUAGCUAGUUGGUGGGGUAAUGGCCUACCAAGGCGACGAUCCAUAGCUGGUCUGAGAGGACGAUCAGCCACACUGGGACUGAGACACGGCCCAGACUCCUACGGGAGGCAGCAGUGGGGAAUAUUGGACAAUGGGCGCAAGCCUGAUCCAGCAAUACCGCGUGUGUGAAGAAGGCCUGCGGGUUGUAAAGCACUUUCAAUUGGGAAGAAAAGCCUGAGGAUAAUACCCUUGGGUCUGACGUACCUUA
Molecule: ribosomal RNA, 481 nt
Filed under: uncultured bacterium
Lineage: Bacteria
Description: bacterial SSU rRNA
Rfam family: Bacterial small subunit ribosomal RNA
Source: RNAcentral